AGUGAAUGCACUGGUAAUUAUCUAUUAUCAGAAUGAUACAUGCUCAUCUACAAAAUCAUUUCCUAACUUCUUUCUGAACCUCUCACCACUGGGGAAUACUGCUGUUUGGUUUCUUAAAAAAUGGUGAUAACUUCCCUAUUGAUGAUUGAUUCCCUAUUCUUAGCAUACUCUUGCUGUGUUUUGAAUCAAUUCUUUUAUUUAUUAGGUUUUUGGGCAAGGAGACUUAGUACGUUUCAUUCUCAUUACUUUUAAUCAUCUCCGUAUCCUCCCCAAACAAGUGCAAGGUUGGCUGC
Non-coding RNA from Ceratotherium simum simum (southern white rhinoceros), 293 nucleotides. The record is from RefSeq and is a predicted model, not a curated record. NCBI's taxonomy places the organism in Eukaryota, Metazoa, Chordata, Mammalia, Perissodactyla, Rhinocerotidae.